UACGUAGGGGGCAAGCGUUAUCCGGAUUUACUGGGUGUAAAGGGAACGUAGACGGCGAUGCAAGUCUGAAGUGAAAGGCGGGGGCCCAACCCCCGGACUGCUUUGGAAACUGUAUGGCUGGAGUGCAGGAGAGGUAAGUGGAAUUCCUAGUGUAGCGGUGAAAUGCGUAGAUAUUAGGAGGAACACCAGUGGCGAAGGCGGCUUACUGGACUGUAACUGACGUUGAGGCUCGAAAGCGUGGGGAGCAAACAGG
This 253-nucleotide ribosomal RNA is filed under the name uncultured bacterium. RNAcentral's name for it is "partial 16S ribosomal RNA". It matches the Rfam family "Bacterial small subunit ribosomal RNA", at positions 524 to 776 of the family's 1533-position model. The record is from RNAcentral.